RNAcentral lists this ribosomal RNA (622 nucleotides) under Cystobasidium ongulense. Its description in RNAcentral is "eukaryotic LSU rRNA". It matches the Rfam family "Eukaryotic large subunit ribosomal RNA", at positions 1 to 632 of the family's 3401-position model. The record is from RNAcentral. Lineage: Eukaryota; Fungi; Basidiomycota; Cystobasidiomycetes; Cystobasidiales; Cystobasidiaceae.
UAGACCUCAAAUCAGUCAGGACUACCCGCUGAACUUAAGCAUAUCAAUAAGCGGAGGAAAAGAAACUAACAAGGAUUCCCCUAGUAACGGCGAGUGAAGUGGGAAAAGCUCAACUUUGAAAUCUGGUACUUUCAGUAUCCGAAUUGUAGUCUCAAGAAGUGUUUUCUGUGCCGGUCCAUGUAUGAGUCUGUUGGAACACAGCGUCAUAGAGGGUGACAACCCCGUUCAUGACAUGGAUCCCGGUGCUUUGUGAUACACUCUCGAAGAGUCGAGUUGUUUGGGAAUGCAGCUCAAAUUGGGUGGUAAAUUCCAUCUAAAGCUAAAUAUUGGCGAGAGACCGAUAGCAAACAAGUACCGUGAGGGAAAGAUGAAAAGCACUUUGGAAAGAGAGUUAACAGUACGUGAAAUUGUUGAAAGGGAAACGAUUGAAGUCAGACGUGCGUGAUGCGGUUCAGCUUUAGUUCGCUAGAGUGUACUCCGUAUCUUUGCAGGCCAGCAUCGGUUUUGUUAGUCGGAUAAAGGUUUGAGAAAUGUGGCAUCUUCGGAUGUGUUAUAGUCUCAGACUGAAUACGAUUGAUGGGACCGAGGAACGCAGCGCGCCGCAAGGCAAAGGUUCCGACCU